RNAcentral lists this ribosomal RNA (2328 nucleotides) under Thecophora africana. RNAcentral's name for it is "eukaryotic LSU rRNA". It matches the Rfam family "Eukaryotic large subunit ribosomal RNA", at positions 89 to 1907 of the family's 3401-position model. Lineage: Eukaryota; Metazoa; Arthropoda; Insecta; Diptera; Conopidae. The record is from RNAcentral.
GCGAGCGAAAAGAAAACAGUUCAGCACUAAGUCAUUUUGUCUUUAUGGCAAAUAUGAGAUGCAGUGUAUGGAACAUCUAUAAUCUAAUAUGAAAAAUUAGUGAUUUAAGUCCUUCUUAAAUGAGGCCAUUUACCCAUAGAGGGUGCCAGGCCCGUGUAACAUUAAUGAUUAUUAGAAGAUGUUUCCAAAGAGUCGUGUUGCUUGAUAGUGCAGCACUAAGUUGGUGGUAAACUCCAUCUAAAACUAAAUAUAACCAUGAGACCGAUAGUAAACAAGUACCGUGAGGGAAAGUUGAAAAGAACUCUGAAUAGAGAGUUAAAUAGUACGUGAAACUGCUUAGAGGUUAAGCCCGAUGAACCUGAAUAUCCAUUAUGAAAAAUACAACAUUAUAUAUCUUAUAAUAUUAAUAGUAUAUUAUGGAAAUAGUGUGCAUUUUUUUCAUAUAAGGACAUUGUAAUCUAUUAACAUAUAUUUGUAUAUUUAUCAAAAAGUCAUUGGGAUAUAAGUUUAUUUGAAUUGAUUUGUAUUUAUACAUUUUAAUGAUAAUAAAUACCUAUGAUUUGAUAAAGUGUUGAUAGAUUUUGUAAUAUAGUGCUUAAAUUUAUUUAAUAAAUUUUGUAAUAAUAUAAAUUGUCUUAUGAUUUUUAUAUUUAUUACAUGCGCUAAUAUGAUUAACAAUGCGAUAGAUUCAGGAUACCUUCGGGACCCGUCUGAACACGGACCAAGGAGUCUAACAUAUGUGCAAGUCAUUGGGAUUAAUUUAAUUUAAACCCAAAGGCGUAAUUAACUUAAAUUUUUUAUAUAUGGGAUUAGUUAUUAAUUUAUUUAUAAAUUAUUAAUUCAAUCCCGGGGCGUUCUAUAUAGUUAUGUAAUUUAUAAUAUUUAUAUUAUUUAUAACCUCUAACUGGAGCGUACCUUGAGCAUAUAUGCUGUGACCCGAAAGAUGGUGAACUAUACUUGAUCAGGUUGAAGUCAGGGGAAACCCUGAUGGAAGACCGAAACAGUUCUGACGUGCAAAUCGAUUGUCAGAAUUGAGUAUAGGGGCGUAAGACUAAUCGAACCAUCUAGUAGCUGGUUCCCUCCGAAGUUUCCCUCAGGAUAGCUGGUGCAUUUAAAAAUUAUGUAAAAUAAUCCUAUCUGGUAAAGCGAAUGAUUAGAGGCCUUAGGGUCGAAACGACCUUAACCUAUUCUCAAACUUUAAAUGGGUAAGAACCUCACCUUUCUUGAUAUGAAGGUUGAGGUUGUGAUAUAAUGUGCCCAGUGGGCCACUUUUGGUAAGCAGAACUGGCGCUGUGGGAUGAACCAAACGUAAUGUUACGGUGCCCAAAUUAACAACUCAUACAGAUACCAUGAAAGGCGUUGGUUGCUUAAAACAGCAGGACGGUGGACAUGGAAGUCGUAAUCCGCUAAGGAGUGUGUAACAACUCACCUGCCGAAGCAACUAGCCCUUAAAAUGGAUGGCGCUUAAGUUGUAUACCUAUACAUUACCGCUAAAGUAAAUGAUUUAUUUUCAAUUUGAAAUUUAAAUUUUUAAACUUUAGUGAGUAGGAGGGUACAAUGGUGUGCAUAGAAGUGUUUGGCGUAAGCCUGCAUGGAGCCGCCAUUGGCACAGAUCUUGGUGGUAGUAGCAAAUAAUCGAAUGAGACCUUGGAGGACUGAAGUGGAGAAGGGUUUCGUGUGAACAGUGGUUGAUCACGAGUUAGUCGGUCCUAAGUUCAAGGCGAAAGCCGAAAAUUUUUCAGUUAUAAAUAAAUUUAAUAAUCAUGUAUACAUGGAAGGGUGUGUAAAUAUUAUGUGGAAGUAUAUUUUAAUUAAUAUAUGGAAGGGUAAUAUACACAUGUGGAAAUGUAUACAAACAAUAUGCAUGGAAGGGUGUGUAAAUAUUAUGUGGAAGUAUAUUAUUAUGAACAAUAUAUGGAAGGGUAAUAUACACAUGUGGAAAUGUAUACACAAAAUUGUAAUUAAACACUGAAUUAUUUUUGAACGAAAGGGAAUACGGUUCCAAUUCCGUAACCUGUUGAGUAUCCGUUUGUUAUUAAAAAUGGGCCUUGUGCUCAUCCUGGUAACAGGAACGACCAUAAAGAAGCCGUCGAGAGAUAUCGGAAGAGUUUUCUUUUCUGUUUUAUAGUCGUACUACCAUGGAAGUCUUUCGAAGAGAGAUAUGGUAGAUGGACUAGAAGAGCAUGACAUUUACUGUUGUGUCGAUAUUUUCUCCUCGGACCUUGAAAAUUUAUGGUGGGGUUACGCAAACUUCUCAACAGGCCGUACCGAUAUCCGCAGCUGGUCUCCAAGGUGAAGAGUCUCUAGUCGAUAGAAUAAUGUAGGUAA